Micropterus dolomieu (smallmouth bass) is the source of this 998-nucleotide long non-coding RNA. RefSeq lists it as uncharacterized. Lineage: Eukaryota; Metazoa; Chordata; Actinopteri; Centrarchiformes; Centrarchidae. The record is from RefSeq and is a predicted model, not a curated record. The transcript is spliced from 3 exons.
CCCAAUUAAGUGUCCCACACCCAUCAGAACCUUCAAGAGAUAACAGGGCCACUUCAUUCAGUUUUGGAACAAUGGAUCCAGAGAGACGUGAAGGAAGAGGAUGAGGAAACCGGACAGGAGAACGAAGAGGAAGUGCAAGGAGGAAAUCAGAGGUGUUGAAUCAUCCUGACACAACUUAACAGGUUUCCUAAAACAGGCCAACGCCAUCUUCACCCAGACAGGCAGCUGCUGCGCUGUCGGCUUCUGAUAAUUGGCUGACAACUGCGGAAAGAAAAGUCGACUGACACAAGUUACAGGAGUGAAUUUCCCCAGAGCACAUGGAGCUAACGAGGCAGCCGCCUCCUGCUGUUUGUGACAAAUAACUCAACACACAUACAGCUGAGAGCAUCUACUGCCUUUAAACAGGAGACACAAAUAUCAGCUCCUUAACUGCGAUAAAAGAGUAUUUAUGGCAUACUCAUGGAAUCAUGGAGGAGGUCAUUUCAGACGCUAAUCAGAGUAAGUAGCAUCCAAACAGAGAUGAACAUGAGGGGGGAGCUGGGAGGAGCCAGAGGAGAGGAGGCAACAAUCACAACACAUAGGAGAGUGUUGUGGUGGCAGCCCGGCUGACGGUUCACUCACCUCCGUCGAGUCAGCUGAGCUCGCCCACCUGCCCUCUCCCCUCGGACUUCCCCCACACGGUUCUCCCUCGUGCCUCGCCAGUCAGCCUGCCACCACACUCCUCCACCAAAAUCAGUUUCCUGACCAAUUCCUGGUUAGUUACGCACAAAAUUUGACCCACUGUGUCUAAACUCUGCACACAAGCCAAAUAAGAAACAACACCUGGAGAUAAACUCAUUUCUACUUCAAAUUUCUGCAAUCAAAACCUAGCACUUCUUUUUUCAAAAGGGCAUUUUUGGAUCAAUGGAAACAUGCAUCAUGUUUCUUAAACAUUCACAGCAGCAACAACACAGAGCAUUAUUCAACACAAAUGUUUAGUGCUUUGUAGACUGUUUUUU